Molecule: transfer RNA, 71 nt
Filed under: Bagarius yarrelli (goonch)
Lineage: Eukaryota; Metazoa; Chordata; Actinopteri; Siluriformes; Sisoridae
Also listed under: 1 other name
Description: tRNA-Asp
Rfam family: tRNA
About the family: Transfer RNA (tRNA) molecules are approximately 80 nucleotides in length.
Source: RNAcentral
GGGACACUAGUAUAAACCAUUACAUCGCCUUGUCAAGGCGAAAUUGCAGGUUAAAGCCCUGCGUAUCCCUG